AUUGAACGCUGGCGGCAUGCCUUACACAUGCAAGUCGAACGGUAACGCGGGGCAACCUGGCGACGAGUGGCGAACGGGUGAGUAAUGUAUCGGAACGUGCCCAGUAGUGGGGGAUAGCCCGGCGAAAGCCGGAUUAAUACCGCAUGAGACCUGAGGGUGAGAGCGGGGGAUCGCAAGACCUCGCGCUAUUGGAGCGGCCGAUAUCAGAUUAGGUAGUUGGUGGGGUAAAGGCCUACCAAGCCUGCGAUCUGUAGCUGGUCUGAGAGGAUGACCGGCCACACUGGGACUGAGACACGGCCCAGACUCAUACGGGAGGCAGCAGUGGGGAAUUUUGGACAAUGGGCGCAAGCCUGAUCCAGCCAUGCCGCGUGCGGGAAGAAGGCCUUCGGGUUGUAAACCGCUUUUGUCAGGGAAGAAAUCUUCUGGGUUAAUACCUCGGGAGGAUGACGGUACCUGAAGAAUAAGCACCGGCUAACUAGGUGCCAGCAGCCGCCGUAA
Molecule: ribosomal RNA, 498 nt
Filed under: uncultured bacterium
Lineage: Bacteria
Description: partial 16S ribosomal RNA
Rfam family: Bacterial small subunit ribosomal RNA
Source: RNAcentral